This 970-nucleotide long non-coding RNA is filed under the name Volvox carteri. RNAcentral's name for it is "long non-coding RNA (VCAR_LNC000332)". The record is from RNAcentral. Lineage: Eukaryota; Viridiplantae; Chlorophyta; Chlorophyceae; Chlamydomonadales; Volvocaceae.
UUCCUUCAUGCUCGGCAACUUUAGACCGACCCAUGGCAACCUCCCUCCUGGCGUCUCGCUCGUACCUGUUUGAUUGUUGUCCUUCUUAUUCUCUUCUUCAUUCAUUCAAUAAAGUUCAAACGAAGUGUGCCUUUGCGGCACACCAUCAGCUUUGCCGCUGCAUUCCGACUUCAAAAUGUGCAAUUGGAAGGAUCUCCGAAUGCGUUCUGGCUGGGAGCUGACAAAAAUUGGUCCAUGAAGCACGGGCACUGUGGCGCGCCUUGGACUGCCAGCCAGCAGGAGGGCCGGCGUCGAACAUGGAUGCAACGGUAGUACCACCUACGUAUCGGGCAGUCCCGACAUGGAUUUGGCGCAGCAGCGGCAACACACGUUGCCGCAAUGGCACUCCUGCUUUGUGUGUAUGUCAUUCUACGGAUUGCCGUAUCACGAGAAGGCUAACUGUUCAGUCAAUAAUGAUUAUGCUAUAGCAGCUGCGCGCUUGCGACGAUCCAGACAGGUCUACACCGCCGUCGCAAGUCUGCCGACCUUUAUUGUUUGAGGAUUUCAAUAACAAGUGUGUACUCCAAACGUGGCGGCGUUCUUGUGCUUGCACUCUUAUGCCGUACGGAUUGCCAUGCGAAUCAAACGGGGGUCAAGUGGCUGCGCGCCGAGCCCCUUUUCGGCUUUGAAAAGCCGCCCCCCUAGUCUCCGUGGCCUUUAGGCGUUCAGAAAUUGGCCUUUGGGUAGUUUUGCAGGUAUGGGGUCACUCACCCCCAACCAUGUGACACACACAUAUAUGAAAGCAUAGACGCGCAUGUGUCUGUUGGUUUCAGAUGCUUGUCUUUUUUUACUGCCAUGCUUUGCUACAGCAGCCUCGUACAGAUCGUUCCUGGUCUCCGCAUCGUACGCCCUUCAAUGAAACCGCCUCUUCAUUUGGCCUGUACUCUUUUGACGUUAAGUGGGCAAGAACCUAGAUGUUGGAUGAAAUGGA